ACGGAGGAUCCGAGCGUUAUCCGGAUUUAUUGGGUUUAAAGGGUGCGCAGGCGGCCAUUUAAGUCAGCGGUUAAAUCGUGGGGCUCAACCCCAUUCUGCCGUUGAUACUGGGUGGCUUGAUUGCGGUCGAGGUUGGCGGAAUUCGUUGUGUAGCGGUGAAAUGCAUAGAUAUGACGAAGAACACCGAUUGCGUAGGCAGCUGACCAGACCGCAAAUGACGCUCAUGCACGAAAGUGCGGGGAUCGAACAGGAUUAGAUACCCUGGUAGUCCGCACAGUAAACGAUGAAUACUUGUUUUCGGCGAUAUAAUGUCGGAGGCAAAGCGAAAGCGAUAAGUAUUCCACCUGGGGAGUACGCCGGCAACGGUGAAACUCAAAGGAAUUGACGGGG
Molecule: ribosomal RNA, 390 nt
Filed under: uncultured bacterium
Lineage: Bacteria
Description: partial 16S ribosomal RNA
Rfam family: Bacterial small subunit ribosomal RNA
Source: RNAcentral